RNAcentral lists this ribosomal RNA (164 nucleotides) under uncultured bacterium. RNAcentral's name for it is "partial 16S rRNA". It matches the Rfam family "Bacterial small subunit ribosomal RNA", at positions 355 to 511 of the family's 1533-position model. The record is from RNAcentral.
UAGGGAAUCUUCCACAAUGGACGAAAGUCUGAUGGAGCAACGCCGCGUGAGUGAAGAAGGGUUUCGGCUCGUAAAACUCUGUUGUUAAAGAAGAACAUAUCUGAGAGUAACUGUUCAGGUAUUGACGGUAUUUAACCAGAAAGCCACGGCUAACUACUUUCCAG